This 3560-nucleotide ribosomal RNA is filed under the name Candidatus Curtissbacteria bacterium RIFOXYB1_FULL_41_59. RNAcentral's name for it is "23S ribosomal RNA". It matches the Rfam family "Bacterial large subunit ribosomal RNA". Lineage: Bacteria; Candidatus Curtissiibacteriota. The record is from RNAcentral.
GCGUUCAAUGGAUGCCUUGGUGCAACACACCGAAGAAGGACGUGGAGGGCUGCGAUAAGUACCGGUGAGCUGCCGUCAAGCUUUGAUCCGGUAAUUUCCGAAUGGGGAAACCCGCUUGUGCAUGGCACAGGGGUUCUUAAGUCACUUAAGUACCUUAAGUUACUUAGGGGUUCUUGCGCUGUGCAUGAGCAUCCUUUUGCGAAUUAAUAAGCUUAAGGAAGGGUACCGUCUGAACUGAAACAUCUAAGUAAGGCGAGGAAAAGAAAGUAAUUAACGAUUCCCUGAGUAGUGGCGAGCGAAAGGGGAAAAGCCCAAACCAGGUACCAUACGGUACCUGGGGUUGCGGGACUCUAAUAUGAGAUCUCACUUAAGAUAGCAGAACUGUCUGGAAUGGCAGGCCAUAGAGAGUGAAAGACUCGUAUGUGAAAUCUUAAAUGGCUCUAGGAGUAUCCCAAGUACUACGGGACACGCGAAAUCCUGUAGGAAUCUGGCUCGACCAUGAGCUAAGGCUAAAUAUGUGUUGCGACCGAUAGUGAACUAGUACCGUGAGGGAAAGGUGAAAGAGUACCCCGGAAGGGGAAUGAAAAGUACCUGAAAUUGAACGCUAACAAGCAGCCGGAGCCAGGUACCGUCUGGUACCUGGUGACGACGUGCCUAUUGAAGAAUGAACCGGUGAGUUUUUCCAUUCUGUAGUCUANNNNNNNNNNNNNNUACAUUUAUUUAAUUAAAAAGGGGAAUGGACAACUUUACAUAGGAUUCACUGCGAAUCUAAAAAGAAGAUUAGAAGAACAUAAAGCAAGAUGGGGUCAGCUAAAAUUAAUAUACUUUGAGGCUUAUAACGACGAAUUUUUAGCAAGAGUAAGAGAAAAAAAGUUGAAAAUGUACGGGAGUGCAUAUAGGGCAUUGAAACGAAGACUUCAUUUGUAUAGAGCUUAGAAGGCUGGGGGAGGCAAAGUGAAAGCGAGCGUUAAUAGCGCGUCCCGCCCUUUUUGGGUUUAAGUUAGACGGGGACAAUGUUCAAUUUGAACUUGAAAAGGGCGGGAUUAUACAGCAUGGAAAAGACCCGAAACCGCGUGAGCUAGCCAUGGCCAGGAUGAAGUCCCGCGAAAGCGGUAUGGAGGUCCGAACCCGUGUCAGUUGCAAGUGGCUGGGAUGAGCUGUGGUUAGGGGUGAUAUGCCAAUCGAACGCGGAGAUAGCUGGUUCUCCCCGAAAUAUAUUUAGGUAUAGCCCCCGUCAAAGUUCCUAGGGGUAGAGCACUGAAUAGUCUGUGCGCAGCAAUGUGUGCUGAUUAAUCAAACUUCGAAUACUGGGAAAUAAUCUAGGCGGGGAGUCAGUCCGACCCGGAUAAGCGGGCCAGGGCUAAAGGGAAACAUCCCAGAUCCAAAGCUAAGGUCCCGAAGUGUAUUUUAAGUGUGCAAGGUAGUAUUGACGUUUAGACAGCAAGGAGGUUGGCUUAGAGGCAGCCAUCCUUUAAAGAAAGCGUAACAGCUCACUUGUCUAAGUUCCGGAGAUCGGAAUUCAGAUGUCGGAUCUCGGACGUGAUAGUCUGAUUUCUGAUAUCCGACAUCCGACCUCCGGAACAGGCGGCAGUGCGCCGACAAUGUAACGGGGCUAAAAAUACCACCGAAGCUUGGGGUUCGCAUGCGUAGCAUGCGAUUACGAAUGGAUGCGAAUGCUAGAUUAAUGCGAAUGAAUGCGAAUGUGCUUCGAUUUAAUAUCUCAUUGUUGAUAUUUUAGAUUAUUGAUGCAUUCGAAUAAAUUCGCAUAUAAAAAGUAUUUGCAAAAAUUAGUAGUCGCCUGCUGCGCAGGCGAGCGGUAGGGGAGCGUUCGCAUAUGCGGUGAAGGCCACGGCGUAAGCCGGACUGGAGCGGUGCGAAGUGAGAAUGCCGGUAUGAGUAGCGAAACCCCGGUUGGAAUCCGGGGCGCCGAAUGUCCAAGGUUUCCUACGCAACGUUCGUCGACGUAGGGUUAGUCGGUCCUAAGGCGAGGCCAGAAGGCGUAGUCGAUGGACAAGCCGUUAAUAUUCGGCUACUUUGACAAAAUCGUUUUAAAGCAAAGGGAAGACGAAGAUGGAAGACUUCUGGGUCGAAAUGAUACGGCCCCUAAAAAGCAAGGAAGUGAAAAGUGGAAAAUCCCUUUUUAUGAUUAUUCGAGCUUUGAUAGCAAUCUGGCUCGCGCUGGAGAGAGAAACUGUUUCAACUUCCAAGAAAUUUUCUCGUUGUUAUGUUUUUGUCAAAACCGUACCUAAACCGACACAGGUGGACUGGUAUUAGUGUACCAAGGCGAGCGAGAGAACCUUCCUUAAGGAACUCGGCAAUAUAACUGGACGUACCUUUGGUAGAUGUCCUCCCAGGUACCAAACGGUACCUGGGCGCAGUUAACGAUGCCAAGCGACUGUUUAACAAAAACACAGGUCCCUGCUUAAGUUGAAAAACGAUGUAUAGGGGCUGACGCCUGCCCAGUGCUCGUAGGUUAAAUGCCGUAGGUGAUCCCCGCCCUUUUUGGGCUUUAGAUUUUCGUUUGUUACUAAACUAACGAAAUUUCAUUUUGAGUAAAUUUUUAAGUCUAGAGCUUGAAAAGGACGGGGUGAGCUUGUGGUAUAAGCCCGGGUAAACGGCAGCAGUAACUAUAACUGUUCUAAGGUAGCGAAAUUCCUUGUCGGGUAAGUUCCGACCCGCACAAAAGGCUGAACGACUUGGCAACUGUCUUGAGGAAGGACUCGGCGAAAUUGCAAUGGCUGUGAAGAUGCGGCCAACUUGCACCAGGACAAAAAGACCCCGUGGAGCUUUACUGCAGCUUGACUUUGUUUCAACUAUUGGAACUGUAUAGCGUAGGAGGGAGUCAGGUACCAUUCGGUACCUGACAACAAUGUAACACCUCUCUUUUCGAUGGCUGGAACUUACCGUUUGUCCUAAUAAAAUACGGGAGACGGGACAGUGUCUGGUGGGCAGUUUGACUGGGGCGGUCGCCUCCUAAAAGGUAACGGAGGCGUACAAAGGUCGACUCAAGUCCUACAGAAACGGACUUUAAGAGUGCAAAGGCAUAAGUCGGCUUGACUGCGAGUGGUACAUCACAAGCAGGUGCGAAAGCAGGUCUUAGUGAUCCUCACGUGGCUUAUGGGAGCGCGUGAGCUUAACGGAUAAAAGCUACCCCGGGGAUAACAGGCUUAUCUUCCCCAAGAGUCCAUAUCGACGGGAAGGUUUGGCACCUCGAUGUCGGCUCACCGUAUCCUCCUGCUGAAGUAGGCGGGAAGGGUUGGGCUGUUCGCCCAUUAAAACGGUACGCGAGCUGGGUUCAGAACGUCGUGAGACAGUUCGGCCUCUAUCCGGUGCAAGCGUUUGAUAUUUGAGGGGGGUCGCCACUAGUACGAGAGGACCGUGGUGAGCGAACCUCUAGUGUGCCAGUUGUCACAUCAGUGGCAGUGCUGGGUAGCUACGUUCGUAACUGAGAAGCGCUGAAAGCAUCUAAGCGCCAAACAGGCCCCAAGACUAGAUAUCGUUAAGAUCCGUUGUAGACUACGACGUUGAUAGGCGGCAAGUGUAAAGGCAGUAAUGUUUGU